GAUGAACGCUGGCGGCGUGCCUAAUACAUGCAAGUCGAGCGAACAGACGAGGAGCUUGCUCCUCUGACGUUAGCGGCGGACGGGUGAGUAACACGUGGAUAACCUACCUAUAAGACUGGGAUAACUUCGGGAAACCGGAUCUAAUACCGGAUAAUAUAUUGAACCGCAUGGUUCAAUAGUGAAAGACGGUUUUGCUGUCACUUAUAGAUUGAUCCGCGCCGCAUUAGCUAGUUGGUAAGGUAACGGCUUACCAAGGCAACGAUGCGUAGCCGACCUGAGAGGGCGAUCGGCCACACUGGAACUGAGACACGGUCCAGACUCCUACGGGAGGCAGCAGUAGGGAAUCUUCCGCAAAGGGCGAAAGCCUGACGGAGCAACGCCGCGUGAGUGAUGAAGGUCUUCGGAUCGUAAACCUCUGUUAUUAGGGAAGAACAAAUGUGUAAGUAACUAUGCACGUCUUGACGGUACCUAAUCAGAAAGCCACGGCUAACUACGUG
Molecule: ribosomal RNA, 497 nt
Filed under: uncultured bacterium
Lineage: Bacteria
Description: partial 16S ribosomal RNA
Rfam family: Bacterial small subunit ribosomal RNA
Source: RNAcentral